This 253-nucleotide ribosomal RNA is filed under the name uncultured bacterium. RNAcentral's name for it is "partial 16S ribosomal RNA". It matches the Rfam family "Bacterial small subunit ribosomal RNA", at positions 524 to 776 of the family's 1533-position model. The record is from RNAcentral.
UACGAAGGGGGCUAGCGUUGUUCGGAAUUACUGGGCGUGAAGCGCGCGCAGGCGGUUCUUCAAGUCAGUGGUGAAAGCCCGGAGCUCAACUCCGGAACUGCCAUUGAAACUGUAGAACUUGAGGAUGAGAGAGGUGAGUGGAAUUCCCAGUGUAGAGGUGAAAUUCGUAGAUAUUGGGAAGAACACCAGUGGCGAAGGCGGCUCACUGGCUCAUUUCUGACGCUCAGGCGCGACAGCGUGGGGAUCAAACAGG